Long non-coding RNA from Bombyx mori (domestic silkworm), 604 nucleotides. RefSeq lists it as uncharacterized. The transcript has 3 exons. The record is from RefSeq and is a predicted model, not a curated record. NCBI's taxonomy places the organism in Eukaryota, Metazoa, Arthropoda, Insecta, Lepidoptera, Bombycidae.
AAUCAAUCCUUUCUCCGGGCAGCAAAAUGAUCGCCUGUCUUGUAGUUUGCGACACCGGCUAGUUUAAAAUUUGUACCCUACAAAUAUGCAAUAUGUUCACUAUCAUUUGUAAAUAAAUUAUAAUCGUAUCUAGCUAAAUCAAAUUGUUCAAAGUUGGUUUUAGAAUAAAUAAAUAAACAAAUAAUGACAAGGUCGUGACCGUAAUUAAAAUCAUUCCGUGACCCCACAGAGUGUAGCAGUUGAUCCUGUAAGCUCACCUACCCGUCCGGGCGUAGUUGGAUUACCCUCGUAGGCUACCAGCGAAUAGAUAGAGAAAAUUAAUAAAUUAUAUUUGAAGUACCAUUGAAGUUCCAGAUCAUGGCCAAUCCAGUUCGCCGGUAAUAGCCAAACAGCAAGCAAGCUUUGGACGUUCAGAAUACACAUAUGCAUGCGGCCUUGAAGAAAUUUUUGAAUUAUUUAAUUUAAUUCUACUGUAAUCUUGCACAAAUGAACAACAGACUCUUGAUUGGAUUAGACAAAAAGUCAUUGCGCUUUUUCAUUGUGAUAAUGUUUUAAAUAAUAUAUUUAUUUAAAGUUAAUAAAUUGGUUAAGAUUGCUCAUUUUA